This 253-nucleotide ribosomal RNA is filed under the name uncultured bacterium. RNAcentral's name for it is "partial 16S ribosomal RNA". It matches the Rfam family "Bacterial small subunit ribosomal RNA", at positions 524 to 776 of the family's 1533-position model. The record is from RNAcentral.
UACGGGGGGGGCAAGCGUUGUUCGGAAUUACUGGGCGUAAAGGGUUUGUAGGUGGCUUGCUAAGUCAGACGUGAAAUCCCUCAGCUUAACUGGGGAACUGCGUCUGAGACUGGCAAGCUUGAGUGCAGGAGAGGAACGCGGAAUUCCAGGUGUAGCGGUGAAAUGCGUAGAUAUCUGGAGGAACACCGGUGGCGAAGGCGGCGAUCUGGGUAGAUACUGACGCUGAGGUGCGAAAGCGUGGGGAGCAAACAGG